Molecule: long non-coding RNA, 470 nt
Organism: Poecilia latipinna (sailfin molly)
Lineage: Eukaryota; Metazoa; Chordata; Actinopteri; Cyprinodontiformes; Poeciliidae
Exons: 2
Source: RefSeq, a predicted model, not a curated record
AGUUGUUAAAGUUGCUAUAUAUCAAAUACGAGUUAAAAGAAACGUUGCCUUGUCUUUUAACGCCCUGAAAUUGGGCCUCUGUCUCUUUAAGAACUCCUGCUCUUUCUGAAACUCCGCCUUCAGGAAGUCACCACACAUCACUCCCCUAUUAACCCUUCAAUACUUGUAUCACUUUACCAGCGUUGCGCUGAGAAGUGGCUCCUAUAAUGAGCUCAGCAUGAUGUGCAGUUCCACCAGGUGUUUGCUAAUUGUUGAUGGCUAGUCUGAAGGAGCUGUCCACAACACCAACCAGGCGUUUUGGUCAGCUGAACGGUUGCCAAGGGAGUUUAAAGGAUUUCUGAAACAUGCAUGAAAGAAUCAAGUCAACACUCCAGGUUUUCCAUGAACGGCACAUAUUCAAAAGAGGAUAAAGGAGGGAGUCUCUUCCGCCGAGGAGGAGAGCCGGUUCAAAGGAGCCAAUUCAUGCAAAU